UCAAGAAAGUGGUUUCUUCUAGAAGUGUC
RNAcentral lists this non-coding RNA (29 nucleotides) under Rattus norvegicus (Norway rat). The record is from RNAcentral. Lineage: Eukaryota; Metazoa; Chordata; Mammalia; Rodentia; Muridae.